This is a long non-coding RNA of Capsicum annuum, 347 nucleotides long. RefSeq lists it as uncharacterized. NCBI's taxonomy places the organism in Eukaryota, Viridiplantae, Streptophyta, Magnoliopsida, Solanales, Solanaceae. The transcript is spliced from 3 exons. The record is from RefSeq and is a predicted model, not a curated record.
GAAAAAGUAAGAAACUUAUGGUGAAAUUUGGGAGAAUUGAAAGGAGAAAAUAAGGAUUUUGGAGCACUAUUGGCGACUGUCAAAACUGCAGAUUGAUCCUAUUGGUCGUUGUUGGUUGCUGUUCUUGCAAAGUUGGAGAAUUUGUCAUUAGCGAGAUACCGUUGCAGAGGGAGAGACUAGUGGCUGACGAUUCUUACGCGCGAAUUCCAUUGCUGAAGUAAACCUUCCCAUUAGUCGUGAAGGCUGUCAUUCAACGUUAGACCUUUUAGACUACAUUUCUUUUCAUUGGGCUUGCAUGCCCGAAAGUUAAACUCAUGUAACUCUGUUUAGAUGCUCCAUGAACUUAG